This 2679-nucleotide long non-coding RNA is filed under the name Homo sapiens (human). Its description in RNAcentral is "HSALNT0395959". Lineage: Eukaryota; Metazoa; Chordata; Mammalia; Primates; Hominidae. The record is from RNAcentral.
AGUGAGGUCUUCAGGAUCAGGCUCUGGGUCUUCAGAAACCGGGUCCAGAUCUUCAGGAUUGGGGUCUAGGUCCUCGGAGUCAGAGUCGAGCUCUUCAUAAACGGGUCUCAGGCCUUUGUGGCCUGGGUUCCUGACCAGGACUGAGCGCCGCAUUUCAGGCGUGGAUGUGCCCGCAGCUUCUGGGGCAAGACCUGCAAGGGCAAGGAUAGAGGGUAGAGGGUAGGUGGGUUCUGUGGGAGCGGGGGUGUCUUUUGGAGUCUGGUUAGGGAUGAGAGACGGGACCCGAUUGUGCCCCCAGAACCCACUUCUUUUUUUUUUUUUUUUUUUUUUUGAGAUGGGGUCUCGUUCUGUUGCCAAGGCUGGAGUGCAAAGGUACCAUCUCGGCUCACUGCAACCUCCGCCUCCCAGGUUCAAACAACUCUCCUGCCUCAGCCUCCUGAGUAGCUGGGAUUACAGGUGUCCACCACCAUGCCUGGCUAAUUUUUGUAUUUUUAGUAGAGAUGGGAUUUCAGCAUGUUAGACAGGCUGGUCUCAAACUCCUGACCUCAGGUGAUCUGCAUGCCUCAGCCUCCCAAAGUGCUGGGAUUACAGGCGUGAGCCACCGCGCCCAGCCCCACUUCUUUAUUUUUAUUUUUUUGAGAUGGGGUCUCACUCUGUCACCCAGGCUAGAGUGCAGUGAUGUGAUCAUACAUAGCUCACUGCAGACUGGAACUCCCGGGCUCAAGCGAUCCUCCCACCUCGGCCUCUCAAGUAGCUGGAAUUACAGAUGCACCACCACACUCAGCUAACUUCAAUUCUUUCUUUCUUUCUUUCUUUCUUUCUUUCUUUCUUUCUUUCUCUCUCUCUCUCUUUCUUUCUUUCUUUCCUUCCUUCCUUCUUUUCCUUCCUUCUCUCUCUUCUUCCUUCUUUCCUUCCUUCUUUCCUUUCUCUCUCCCUCUGUCUCUCUUUUUUGAGAUGGGGUGUCGCUAUGUUGCCCAGGCUGGUAUCAAACUCCUGGACUCAAGCAAACCUCUGGCCUUGGCCUCAGAAAGUGCUGGGAUUACAGGCAUGAGCCACUGUGCCUGGCCAAACCCCACUCACUUCUGAGCAUACACGUGGAUCCUUCCCUUGUCUCUGACUGCAAGGAGAUUUCUGACUUACCCCAGCCAGGGCAGGGAGUUGAGGGAACCAGGUGGGACAUGGUAGGACCCUCCCCUCUCAGCCCCAAACCUGGACGGAGGUCAUGAGACCCAGCACUAGAGGUUUCUAGUCCCCAACUCCAUGGCUCUGCACCUCUCUCCAACCUGGGCUCCUCUUGUGGGAAGCUGGGGUCCUGUGGAGGAGACAGUCCUAGCUUCCUACCCCCUUGCUGGGCGUCCCCACAUGGGGAACAGUGUGGGUGUCAGCGUUUCUGUGCUCCUGAGCACAUGGCCUGAAUUCUUGUCCCAUACUUGGAGGCGGCAGAUUAAUUUAGGGGGCGAGUUCUGGUAGGGAGGCCCCCCUCCAGCAGCAGCAUUCUGAGCUCUAGAACCCAUGUCUGGGGGAUAAGAAUAUGGAACAAAUAACAUCAGGUAUCCCUCCCAAGUCACUGGGGAAAGACAAGAAGACUCUGGCUUGCCCUCUGGGGAAAAGAAAACCUGAAUUCCAGAGCUCACAGCUCCAGGUGGGAGUCAGUGUCAAAUCCUCUCUCUUAGACAGAUCGGAAAUGCCCUUUCCUACAGCCAGAUAGUGAGCAUGGUAGAGUGAUAUUUGGGACCCCUCCUGGUGAGGAGGGAUGGGUAGGGAGACUCAUGAACCCCAUAGGCAGGAUGGUGGGGACAGUUGUUAGUAUACCUGUUUUAUUUAUUUAUUUAUGUUUGAGAUGGGGUCUUGGUAUGUUGCCCAGGCUGGACUCAAACUCCUGGGCUCAAAUGAUCCUCCCACCUCAGCCUCCCAAAGUAUGGUGAUUACAGGCAUGAGCCACCAUGCCCGGCCAGUAUACCUGUUUUCCCUAUUGGCUAGAAGGUCCUGCAUUUUAACUUCUAGCUGGAGGAUAGGCAAAAAUAAUACCUGGGGACCCUCUGAAGUUAAUGGGGGAACGCCUGAGUCAUCUCCUCCCAUGGCUGGGACAUGGCGGGUAGUGUCAGCACACUUGUAGCCCUUCCUGCAGGAAGGAUCCUGAACUGAAUUGCCAGCUUGUGGCUAGGGGCAGACUGGGAGGUAGAGGGACAAAAGCUGGAACCACUUCUGGGGAGCAAUGGGAGCCCAGGAUGACCUGCCGGGAGGAUGCCUUGAGCUCCCCACCCCAUGGCUGGGUGUUGAGGUGUCAACAAUGAAUGAUCUGCUCCUGGGAGAAGCUGUGGGGGGACCUGUGGCUCCCCUUCUGGGGAAAGGAAUACACUGAGCCACAACCCCAUAGCUGGGAGUGUGCAGGCAAACAGAGCCGAGUUCCUGGACGGCGGUCCUCAACCCAGACCCCAUAGUUGGAGAGUGGGGGAAACAAGACCUGGGACCCCUCCUGCAUCAGGGGCAGAGGAACCCUUAGAUUGCCUCCAGGGGAAGGAGCCCCCUGAAUUCCCAUCUCUUAACUGGAAGGUGGGAGGAGAAAUCACUUAAGUCUUUCCUGAGUUCCCAGGGGUGAGGGCAGGUGGACCCCUGGAUCACCUCCAGGGAAAGGAGCUUCCAGAACUGCAGACCCCAAGACUGGAGGGGCAAGGGAAC